CGUGGGUAACCUGCCCAAGAGAUCGGGAUAACACCUGGAAACAGAUGCUAAUACCGGAUAACAACAGAUGAUGCCUAUCAACUGUUUAAAAGAUGGUUCUGCUAUCACUCUUGGAUGGACCUGCGGUGCAUUAGCUAGUUGGUAGGGUAACGGCCUACCAAGGCGAUGAUGCAUAGCCGAGUUGAGAGACUGAUCGGCCACAUUGGGACUGAGACACGGCCCAAACUACUACGGGAGGCAGCAGUC
RNAcentral lists this ribosomal RNA (246 nucleotides) under uncultured Lactobacillus sp. RNAcentral describes it as "partial 16S ribosomal RNA". It matches the Rfam family "Bacterial small subunit ribosomal RNA", at positions 116 to 355 of the family's 1533-position model. The record is from RNAcentral. Lineage: Bacteria; Bacillati; Bacillota; Bacilli; Lactobacillales; Lactobacillaceae.